GUCUAUGGCCAUACCACCCAGAAUGCACCCGAUCUCCAAGCUAGGAAGGGUCAGGCUGGUGAGUACUUGGAUGGGAGAAGGCCCCCAGGCCACACAGCCAGUGAGGAACCCUUGUGAUUCAAACC
RNAcentral lists this ribosomal RNA (125 nucleotides) under Microcebus murinus (gray mouse lemur). Lineage: Eukaryota; Metazoa; Chordata; Mammalia; Primates; Cheirogaleidae. The record is from RNAcentral.